RNAcentral lists this ribosomal RNA (630 nucleotides) under uncultured bacterium. Its description in RNAcentral is "partial 16S ribosomal RNA". It matches the Rfam family "Bacterial small subunit ribosomal RNA", at positions 8 to 623 of the family's 1533-position model. The record is from RNAcentral.
AGAGUUUGAUCCUGGCUCAGGACGAACGCUGGCGGCGUGCCUAAUACAUGCAAGUUGAGCGCUGAAGGUUGGUACUUGUACCAACUGGAUGAGCAGCGAACGGGUGAGUAACGCGUGGGGAAUCUGCCUUUGAGCGGGGGACGACAUUUGGAAACGAAUGCUAAUACCGCAUAAAAACUUUAAACACAAGUUUUAAGUUUGAAAGAUGCAAUUGCAUCACUCAAAGAUGAUCCCGCGUUGUAUUAGCUAGUUGGUGAGGUAAAGGCUCACCAAGGCGAUGAUACAUAGCCGACCUGANAGGGUGAUCGGCCACAUUGGGACUGAGACACGGUCCAAACUCCUACGGGAGGCAGCAGUAGGGAAUCUUCGGCAAUGGACGAAAGUCUGACCGANCAACGCCGCGUGAGUGAAGAAGGUUUUCGGAUCGUANGACUUUGUUGGUAGAGAAGAACGUUGGUGAGAGUGNAAAAGCUCAUCAAGUGACNGUAACUACCCCAGAAAGGGACCGCUAACUACGUNCCANCACCGCGGUAAUNCUUANGUCCNACCNUNUCCGGAUUUAUUGGGNGUAAANCUANCNCCUGUNGGUUAUUAAUCUNGGGNNAANGGCAUUGNUUCAACNUUGGNUNC